RNAcentral lists this ribosomal RNA (466 nucleotides) under uncultured bacterium. RNAcentral's name for it is "partial 16S ribosomal RNA". It matches the Rfam family "Bacterial small subunit ribosomal RNA", at positions 28 to 507 of the family's 1533-position model. The record is from RNAcentral.
GAUGAACGCUGGCGGCGUGCUUAACACAUGCAAGUCGAACGAUGAAGCCCAGCUUGCUGGGUGGAUUAGUGGCGAACGGGUGAGUAACACGUGAGUAACCUGCCCUUAACUCUGGGAUAAGCCUGGGAAACUGGGUCUAAUACCGGAUAGGAGCGUCCACCGCAUGGUGGGUGUUGGAAAGAUUUAUCGGUUUUGGAUGGACUCGCGGCCUAUCAGCUUGUUGGUGAGGUAAUGGCUCACCAAGGCGACGACGGGUAGCCGGCCUGAGAGGGUGACCGGCCACACUGGGACUGAGACACGGCCCAGACUCCUACGGGAGGCAGCAGUGGGGAAUAUUGCACAAUGGGCGCAAGCCUGAUGUAGCGACGCCGCGUGAGGGAUGACGGCCUUCGGGUUGUAAACCUCUUUCAGUAGGGAAGAAGCGAAAGUGACGGUACCUGCAGAAGAAGCACCGGCUAACUACGUG